UACCUUUUAUGUUGGAAACAUGGCCAGAUACAGCCAGGACAGGCCAGGAGCCAGUGUGGGUAAUGCAAAGCCCUGCGUUGUCUUAGGGUGCUUGUUGUAGCAUAGCUGCUGCCUCGGAUGCAGUCCUGAUGAAAGCAAUGUUGUGAACAAGCUAGCGAGCACCCAAGCUGGGUAAGAUCAGUGUCAGGAAGAAUCUCAGAGCAGGAAACCACAAUUAGCUGCAUUUUCACAAGGCUUUAAGGUGGAGAAAAGGGGCCUAGAAAUCUUUUGUGGGAAAGAGGUAAACCGUCUCUUGCUGUGUUGCCCUAUGUCUCAGUAGCAUCUCUGCAGGCAGGUGCACUUUUACCUUGGUCAGGCUUGGUAACCACCCUUGGGAGAAAUAUCCAGUGAAGAUCCUGGUUGUGAAGAAUGUGGCAAGUGUCUUUUUAUACCAAUCUUUGUGUUGCUCCUGUGGGAGAGCGCUGUACACCUUCCCCAGUGUAACCUGAGGAAAGGGUGUCCUUAGGAUGAAGCAAAGCAGAAAUCACCACUAGUGGUUGUAAGGGCGCCACAGCUGCAUUUCCAAGGCUGGUGAUGAUCUCAGUGCACAGGCUGGAUUAGCAUAACUACGCUCUACCUUUCUGAUUUUGCUUUGG
Long non-coding RNA from Pezoporus occidentalis (night parrot), 635 nucleotides. RefSeq lists it as uncharacterized. The transcript has 3 exons. NCBI's taxonomy places the organism in Eukaryota, Metazoa, Chordata, Aves, Psittaciformes, Psittacidae. The record is from RefSeq and is a predicted model, not a curated record.